Molecule: long non-coding RNA, 3447 nt
Organism: Symphalangus syndactylus (siamang)
Lineage: Eukaryota; Metazoa; Chordata; Mammalia; Primates; Hylobatidae
Source: RefSeq, a predicted model, not a curated record
AGCUGGGCGUCUUCUUUGAAAAUCUGCCCAUUGGAAGGUCCGGGUAUUUAAUUAGGACCUCUUCAUCCCAAGCAGCAGGGCGAGAAUGUCCCAAAAUAACUAACCCAGAGAGUACACUCUAGCCUUCCUAGCCAAGUGUCCUGAGGCUACGUUAACAGGCAGAACUAAAUCUAGUAAAGUGCAGGGAUUAUGAACAAACAGUUAAAGCAACAAGAUCCCUCACCUACACCCCCAUUUCUGAGGAGGACGCCCCUUUCCCUGGAGAAAAGAUUUGUCCUCCUAAAGAGGGGAUGUCCUGAAGAGAAGACGGCAAAUCAUUCCUUCUGAAGGACUCUGAUGUCUCAGCUUGCUGGGCUUUUGCUUUUCUCUCUCUUUUUUUUUUUUUAACCUGUUUUGGUUUACCCCUACUGUAACUCCUGAAAUGUGAAACCAAGAUAAAAGUUACUGUUGGGUUUCCUUGUUCAAAGAAGAGAUUCUGUUCAUCUGUAGACAGUUAAUGCAUCCUCUUGACUCCUCGGGAUGUCUUUUCUCAAGGCUUACUGUUACUCAUUUCAACACCUGAUUUUAUUUUAACUGUAAAGAACUCAACAGUUAUCUUAGUUGAGAUUUUGUUUUGUUUCUGACAAAUGAAAACAAAUGAAUUGCUUUGUUUUUCACAAAUGAAUUAUCACAUCAAAUGCAAUGAAGAUCCCAAGCUCUGGCAUGAGACUUGAUUCAAAUCCUGGUUCUAGGGCCUAGGUCAAGUGUUCAGAUCAAGGGAAACUACUCUAAGAGGCUACAUGUGAGGAACAACAACCAAGGAGCUUCAACUGCAUCUGGGUUUCAGGGUAAUGCUGUUGAUGAUUAGAUUCUGGGCUUUAGGCUAAUGCUGUUAUAUGAUGAGUCUUUUGAGAUACUUAAGAGGGAGUGAGUUUAUUUUGCAUGAUGGAAGGACAUGAAUCAUUGAGGAUCAAAGAGCAGACUGUCAUAGUCAGCUUACACUGCUCUUUGUUAUUCAUGCUGUUGGUUAGCACCCUCCCACAUGGAAUCAAAGCUGACUCAUGGCCAAUAGAACACUGGAUUUUGAUUCUGUAUGGCUUCUUAGGCUAAACCAUAAAAAGCAUUGCAAAUUUUUCUUAAUUUCUUGGAUCACUCUCUAUGGUGGAAGCUAGCUGCCAUGUCAUGAGGACACAUAAGGAAGCCCAUCCCAAGGCCCACAUGGACAGGGACCAAUAGCUAACAUUAACUUGCUAGCUGAUAUGGUUUGGGGGCUUGUCCCCACCCAAAUCUCAUCUUGAAUUCCCAAGUGUUGUGGGAGGGACCCAGUGGGAGGUAAUUGAACCACAGGGGCAAGUCUUUCCCCCUAAGGUGACUCUUGUUAUGUUUUAGCAAAGAGACUGGCAGCAUUUCGCCCCUGUGCUAGAGAUGUGUGGUACUUUGAACUUGAAAGAGAUGAUUUAGGGUAUUUGGUGGAAGAAAUUUCUAAGCAGCAAAGCAUUCAAGAGAUGACUUGGGUGCUAUUAAAGGUAUUCAAUUUUAUAAGGGAAGCAGAGCAUAAAAGUUUGGAAAAUUUGCAGCCUGACAAUGCAGUAGAAAAGAAAAUCCUAUCUUCUGAGGGGAAGUUCAACUAGCUGCAGAAAUGUGCAUAAGUAACUAGGAGCCUAAUGUUAAUCUCCAAGACAAUGGAGAAAAUGUCUCUGGGACAUGUCAGAGGUCUUCACAGCAGCUCUUCCCAUCACAGGCCUAGAGGACUAGGAGGAAAAUGUGGUUUUGUGGGCCAGGCCCAGGGUCCCCAUGCUGUGUGCAGCCUAGGGACUUGGUGCCUUGCAUCUCAGCCACCCCAGCCAUGGCUGAAAGGGGACAACAUAGAGCUUGGGUUGUGGCUUCAGAGGGUGCAAGCCCCAAGUCUUGGCAGCUUCCACAUGGUGUUGAGCCUACGAGCACACAGAAGUCAAGAACUGAGAUUUGGGAACCUCCACCUAGAUUUCAGAGGCUGUAUGGGAAUGCCUGGAUCCCCAGGCAGAAAUUUGCUGCAGGGGCGGGGCCCUCAUGAAGAACCUCUGCUAGGGCAGUGCAGAAGGGAAAGGUGGGGUUGGAGCCCCAACACAGAGUCCCUACUGGGGCACCACCUAGUAGAGCUGUGAGAAGAGGGCCACAGCACUCCAGACCCCAGAAUGGUAGAUCCACCAACAGCUUGCACUGUGUGCCUGGAAAAGCCACAGACACUCAACACCAGCCAGUGAAAGCAGCCUGGAGGAAAGCCGUACCCUGCAAAGCCACAGGAGCGGAGCUGCCCAAGACCGCCUCUUGCAUCAGUGUGACCCUAAUGUGAAACAUGGAGUCAAAGGAGAUCAUUCUGGAACUUUAAGAUUUUACUCUCCUUCUGGAUUUCAGACUUGUGUGGGGCCCGUAGCCCCUUUGUUUUGCCCAAUUUCUCACAUUUGGAAUGGCCAAUGCCUGUACCCCCAACUGUACCUAGAAAGUAACUAACCUGCUUUUGAUUUUACGGGCUCAUUGGUGGAAGGGACUUGCCUUUUCUCAGAUGAGACUUUGGACUGUAGACUUCUGAGUUAAUGCUGAAAUGAGUUAAGACUUUAGGGGACUGUUGGGAAGGCAUGAUUGGUUUUGAAAUGUUAGGACGGGGGUGUGAGAUUUGGGAGGGGCCAGGGGUAGAAUGAUAUGGUUUGACUGUGUCCCCACCCAAAUCUCAUCUUGAGUUCCCACAUAUUGUGGGAGGGACCCAGUGGGAGGUAAUUGAAUCAUGGGGGCAUGUCUUUCCCACGCUGUUCUCAUGAUAGUGAAUAAGUCUCCAGAUCUGAUGGUUUUAAAAAGAAGAGUUCCCCUGCACAAGCUCCCUCUCUCUGCCUGCUACCAUCCAUGUAAGAUGUGACUUGCUCCUCCUUGCCUUCUGCCAUGAUUGGGAGGCUUCCACAGCCACAUGGAACUGUAAAUCCAAUUAAACCUCUUUCUUUUGUAAAUUGCCCAGUCUUGGGUAUGUCUUUAUCAGCAGUGUAAAAAUGGACUAAUACACUAGCCAAGUGACUUAAGAACCUUGGAGGUGAAUCUUUGAGCUCCAGCUGAAUUCAGACUGUUAAAUGACUGCAGGCUCAGUCAACAUCUAAAUGCAACUCUAUAAAAUAGCCUGAACCAUAACCCAAUCAAGCUGCUUUUAAAUUCCUGCAGUUUCCACAGAAACCAUGAGAGAUAAUACAUUAUUGUUGUCAACUUAAGCCAUUACAUUUUGGAGUGACAUGUUGUGAAGCAAUAAUAGCUAAUACACCAUCACAGAUUCUAUUUCCAUUUAUAUGCAUUGGACGUUUUGAGCAUUUCUCACGUCUACUCUAUUUUCUCCAUUAUUUCUUCUCUAUUUACUUCAAUGUGAUUAUUUUCCACUGACCUGUCUUCGAGUUCUCCAUCCCCAUAUUCUGUUUGUUCAAUUGCUAUUAAACCUAUCCAUUUACUUCUUUA